RNAcentral lists this ribosomal RNA (253 nucleotides) under uncultured bacterium. RNAcentral's name for it is "partial 16S ribosomal RNA". It matches the Rfam family "Bacterial small subunit ribosomal RNA", at positions 524 to 776 of the family's 1533-position model. The record is from RNAcentral.
UACGGAGGGUGCAAGCGUUAAUCGGAAUUACUGGGCGUAAAGCGCACGCAGGUGGCUGAGCGAGUCGAUUGUGAAAGCCCUGGGCUUAACCUGGGAACUGCGUUUGAAACUACAAGGCUAGAGUGUGGCAGAGGGGGGUGGAAUUCCACGUGUAGCAGUGAAAUGCGUAGAGAUGUGGAGGAACACCGAUGGCGAAGGCAGCCCCCUGGGUUAACACUGACGCUCAGGCACGAAAGCGUGGGGAGCAAACAGG